This is a non-coding RNA of Podarcis lilfordi (Lilford's wall lizard), 80 nucleotides long. The record is from the annotation of a GenBank genome assembly. NCBI's taxonomy places the organism in Eukaryota, Metazoa, Chordata, Lepidosauria, Squamata, Lacertidae.
ACUUGGGCCAUUGGGAUAGCUCAGUUGGUAGAAGAUGGGACUUAAUCUCAGGGUUGUGGGUUUGAGCCCCAUGUUGAGUA